CCUGGCCUAGAUGAUAUAACGGGAAAGACAUACUCGUUCAGAUUUACAUUUGCAGUAAAUUCAGAACACUCCCUCUUCCAAUGUUGCAAGCCUUGGCAUCGACGAGGGAUGAAAUCCUGUACAAGGAUCGAAAUAUUUCACAGCGCUUCAAGACGCCAUGUCAGCAAGUAUCCGCUGGUUGUAGCUAAAACCCGGAGGAUUCACGUUCGCAACAUUCGAAACGGAAAUUGUGGCGGGUUGAAGAGGGAUUUUCGAUUGUCGUCCGAUUGUUGCUUCAUUGUUUCUUUGACUUUAUACGGGUCGGAAGGUGAGUUGCAGGGUGCAGUACACCAUCUCAAUCGAUCAAUAUUUUAACCACGGAGUAGGCUGGCAUUGCAAACAGAAGCAAGACGCUCUAACGGGUCUCCUCUUCUUCUCAUACGUUGGAUACUGAUAAAACUGAAGACAGACAUGGCGGGACAGAGUUCUGGAUAAUUGUACGAAAUUAAUAAAACAGAAACAGGACGUGAGCCUGUUAAGUAAUUUCAACUGACACGAGAUGUUGUCUAUACCAGAUUUUUCUUAACGCAGUAAUGAGCAUUCGCGUUACAUGCAAUGUGAGAUAUUUAGCCAGCUGAACGACUACAAGCUUCUGAAGAAGGACUUUAGUAGACAGGGUUAAUUAGAUAAAGAGAUAAACGGCUAUUUUAGUGUCAUGUUGCACUGUUCUUAUCACACAUUCACUGGCCCUAUGUUUCACCGUCUUUGUACAACAAUGAAUGUUGUACAUACAUUUUAUUCAAGCCACACGUAGUAAUUAUACAUUGUGACGUAUAGAUCCGUUGCUAGGCAAAGACCUUGAAAUAAAUAACAUGACAAAUGUAGCGUGUACAGCCGUUGUUAUGCAAUAGGCAGAUAAACAACAAUGUUAAGCAAACCGUUUACGGGCAACGGAUCGAUAAAGACGUUCCCGCGGCAACGAAUACGCACACAACAAUAAAUUUACUGUUUGAAACGGUGUUUUAUACUCGAUCCGUGUAAAGUGGUUAUAAGGAAGACAGUUUGGAUGACCCAUUUAGUUGUUAGUUGAGAGAGAGAGAUUUGAAAGUCCGGAUCUGAAGAGGAGAUUUUAUGUGUGCUGUAGUUACAUUGAGACUCUUAUGAUUACUGUGUUAAAAUCCGUUGCCAGGCUACGGCUAGUGAAGACUGAGAAGACUUAGCGUGUGCAAGUGAUUUGUAAAUUGUGAAGAUCAGCGAUAUUAUUAAAGAUAUAUGUAGUAAUGACCUGUAAAAGGUAAAUAAAUAUAUCCAU
Cryptotermes secundus is the source of this 1291-nucleotide long non-coding RNA. RefSeq lists it as uncharacterized. NCBI's taxonomy places the organism in Eukaryota, Metazoa, Arthropoda, Insecta, Blattodea, Kalotermitidae. The transcript is spliced from 4 exons. The record is from RefSeq and is a predicted model, not a curated record.